UAGGGAAUAUUAGUAAUGGGCGAAAGCCUGAACUAGCAACACCGCGUGUGCGAAGAAGGCCUUCGGGUUGUAAAGCACUUUUUGAGAGGAUGAGGAAGGACGGUACUCUCAGAAUAAGUCUCGGCUAACUACGUGCCAGCAGCCGCGGUAACACGUAGGAGGCAAACGUUAUCCGGAUUUACUGGGCGUAAAGCGCGUGUAGGUGGUUUGGUAAGUAGAGCGUGAAAGCUCCUGGCUCAACUGGGAGAGGUCGUUCUAAACUGCCGGACUAGAGGAUGGUAGAGGGAGGUGGAAUUCCGGGUGUAGCGGUGGAAUGCGCAGAUAUCCGGAGGAACACCAGUGGCGAAAGCGGCCUCCUGGACCACUCCUGACACUCAGACGCGAAAGCUAGGGUAGCAAACG
This 402-nucleotide ribosomal RNA is filed under the name uncultured prokaryote. Its description in RNAcentral is "bacterial SSU rRNA". It matches the Rfam family "Bacterial small subunit ribosomal RNA", at positions 355 to 774 of the family's 1533-position model. The record is from RNAcentral.